GAAAAUAGCUGUCCCAGGUCCACAUGUGGCAAUGAACUGUUGGAGCUGUUGCUGGCAUUGAGUGAGGGGUAUUGUUAUGGACCCAGGAUUACUAAACCUUGAGAAUGUCCGACUAAGCCUCCUAGGUCUGGUCGUGGGCCUGAACUCUGGGCCUGGGAGCUG
Dipodomys spectabilis (banner-tailed kangaroo rat) is the source of this 162-nucleotide long non-coding RNA. RefSeq lists it as uncharacterized. The record is from RefSeq and is a predicted model, not a curated record. The transcript has 3 exons. Lineage: Eukaryota; Metazoa; Chordata; Mammalia; Rodentia; Heteromyidae.